UGCGGAGGAUGCGAGCGUUAUCCGGAUUUAUUGGGUUUAAAGGGUGCGUAGGCGGGCUUUUAAGUCAGCGGUAAAAAUUCGGGGCUCAACCCCGUCCGGCCGUUGAAACUGGGGGUCUUGAGUGGGCGAGAAGAAGGCGGAAUGCGUGGUGUAGCGGUGAAAUGCAUAGAUAUCACGCAGAACCCCGAUUGCGAAGGCAGCCUUCCGGCGCCCUACUGGCGCUGAGGCACGAAAGUGCGGGGAUCGAACAGG
Molecule: ribosomal RNA, 252 nt
Filed under: uncultured bacterium
Lineage: Bacteria
Description: partial 16S ribosomal RNA
Rfam family: Bacterial small subunit ribosomal RNA
Source: RNAcentral